CAAGGUCAGGGGUCACAGAAACUUCAUAACUGUCCGCCCAAAAGAGUUUCACAAACAGUUUGAUCAAGAAACCGGAUUAAUAAUUUUUAAAAAACUGAACACAAAAGUAAACACCUGGAUUAAUAAUAAUAAUAAUAAUAAUAAUAAUAAUAAUAAUGCUAACGAUCCCGAACGAAUAACCGAAAGGCGCUCACGGAUGGAACGGUCGAGUCAGUUAGCAUUAGCGUGUGGUUCUCCUCGGAGAAGCGCUCUGGAGGAAAAGCUUGCUGGAGUCUGCAGUGUGAAUUCUCCUGACCAGCAAAAACUCCAGCAGCGGAGACGUUAAGAGCUAUUUAUAAUCUCAACUCCGCAGCUGGAAAGCUUAACAGCGCUACAGAGGAUAUCAACCUGAGCCCAGGUGUAGGGGUGUGUGUGUGUGUGUGUGUGUAGGAUGCGACUGGGGAUCAUCACAUGACCUAACGAAGCACGAGGUUGUAAGUAA
This is a long non-coding RNA of Ictalurus punctatus (channel catfish), 481 nucleotides long. The record is from Ensembl. Lineage: Eukaryota; Metazoa; Chordata; Actinopteri; Siluriformes; Ictaluridae.